GUCGGGCAGCAGUGAGUGAGUGCUGGGCUGGGUGAGUGAGUGCUGGGCUGGGUAAGUGAGUGCUGGGCUGGGUGAGUGAGUCCUGGGCUGGGUGAGUGCUGUGCUGUGUUGGGUGAGUGCUGUGCUGUGUUGAGUGAGUGCUGUGCUGGGUGAGUGAGUGCUGUGCUGGGUGAGUGAGUGCUGGGCUUGGUGAGUGAGUGCUGGGCUGUGGUGAGUGAGUGCUGGGCUGUGGUGAGUGAGUGCUGGGCUGGGUGAGUGAGUGCUGGGCUGGGUGAGUGCUGUGCUGUGUUGAGUGAGUGCUGUGCUGGGUGAGUGAGUGCUGUGCUGGGUGAGUGAGUGCUGGGCUUGGUGAGUGAGUGCUGGGCUGUGGUGAGUGAGUGCUGGGUUGGGUGAGUGAGUGCUGUGCUGUGGUGAGUGCUGUGCUGUGAUGAGUGAGUCGUGGGCUGGGUGAGUGUGUGCUGGGCUGUGGUGAGUGUGUGCUGGGCUGGGUGAGUGCUGGGCUGAAUGAGUGAGUGCUGGGCUGUGGUGAGUGAGUAUCUGGGUGAGUGAGUGUCGGGCUGUGGUGAGUGAGUGCUGGGCUGUGUGAGUGCUGGGCUGUGGUGAGUGAGUGCUGGGCUGUGGUCAGUCAGUGCUGGACUGGUGAGUGAGUGCUAGGCUCUGUGAGUGAGUCUUGGGCUGGCUGAGUGCUGGGCUGGGUGAGAGUACUGGGCUGGGUGAGUGAGUCCUGGGCUGGGUGAGUGAUGAGUGCUGGGCUGGGUGAGUGAGUCCUGGGCUGGGUGAGUGAGUCCUGGGCUGGGUGAGUGAGUGCUUGGCUGUGGUGAGUGAGUGUCGGGCUGUGGUGAGUGCGUACUGGGCUGUGGUGACUGCUUGGCUGGGUGAGUGAGUGCUGGGCUGUGGUGAGUCAGUGCUGGGCUGGGUGCUAGGCUGUGGCGAGUGAGUGCUGAGCUGUGGUGAGUGAGUGCUGGGCUGGGUGAGUGAGUGCUCGGCUGGGUGGUGGGCUGUGGUAAGUGAGUGUCGGGCUGUGGUGAGUGAGUGUCGGGCUGUGGUGAGUGAGUGCUGGGCUGGGUGAGUGAGUGCUGUUCCGAGUGUCAGGCUAUGGUGAAUGAGUGCUGGGCUCCGUGAGUGAGUUCUGGGCUGGGUGAGUGACUGCUUGGCUGUGGUGAGUGAGUGUCGGGCUGUGGUGAGUGCGUACUGGGCUGUGGUGACUGCUUGGCUGGGUGAGUGAGUGCUGGGUUGCGGUGAGUCAGUGCUGGGCUGUGGUGAGUGCUGGGCUGGGUGCUGGGCUGUGGUGAGUGCUGGGCUGGGUGCUGGGCUGUGGUGAGUGAGUGCUGGGCUGGGUGAGUGAGUGCUGGGCUGAGUGAGUGAGUGCUGGGCUGUGGUGAGUGCUGAGCUGUGUUGAGUGAGUGCUGGGCUGGGUUAGUGCUGGGCUGUGGUGAGUGAGUGCUGGGCUGGGUGAGUGCUGGGCUCUGGUGAGUGAAUGCUGGGCUGGGUGAGAGUCCUGGGCUGGUUGAGUGAAUCCUGGGCUGGGUGAGUGCUGGGCUUGGUGAGUGAGUGCUGGGCUCGAUGAAUGAGUCUUGGGCUGGGUGGGUGCGGGGCUCGGUGAGUGAGUGCUGGGCUGGAUGAGUGAGUCCUGGGCUGUGGUGAGUGAGUGCUGGGCUAUGGUGAGUGAGUGCUGGGCUGGGUGCUGGGCUGUGGUGAGUGAGUGCUGGGCUGGGUGAGUCAUUGCUGGUCCGAGUGUCAGACUGUCGUGAAUGUGUGCUGGGCUUAGUGAGUGAGUGAGUGCUGGGCUCGGCGAGUGAGUCCUGGGCUGGGUAAGUGAGUGCUGGGCUGUGGUGAGUGAGUGUCAGGCUGUGGUGAGUGAGUACUGGGCUGUGGUGAGUGAGUUUGGGGCUGUGGUGAGUGAGUUUGGGGCUGUGGUGAGUGAGUGUUUGGCUGGGUGAGUGAGUGGUGGGCGGGGUGGGUGCUGGGAGCGUCACUCCUGAUUGCCUGUGCAUGGCGGAGGCCGUGUGUUUGCUUGCUUCCACGUGCGGUGAAGUGUGUGGCUGUUUAAGUGAAAUAAUAGGGUAGCUGUCUCAAAGAAUACAAAAAUUUAAAAACACAAAAUUCUAGUCUUUUUUUUUUUGAGAUGG
Long non-coding RNA from Sapajus apella (tufted capuchin), 2129 nucleotides. RefSeq lists it as uncharacterized. The transcript is spliced from 3 exons. NCBI's taxonomy places the organism in Eukaryota, Metazoa, Chordata, Mammalia, Primates, Cebidae. The record is from RefSeq and is a predicted model, not a curated record.